AAAGAUGUUUCUACAAUAGAUUUUGAAUUUGAUCUAAUCAAGUCCAACUCAAUGGGUUUACUAGAUUGUGUCAGUUCUUCUACUAAUCGAACUUCAUCAAGUUCAAUCUUUGAGGCAUUAGUUCUUUCUCUAAAAAACUCUUUUUCUAGAAAGACUACCCUAUUGCUGACGAACACCUUCUGCUCAUCAGCAAGGUAGAAGUAAUAUCCCUUGGUGUCUUUUGGAUACCCUACAGAUAGGCACUUGUCAGACCUAGGUCCAAGCUUGUCAGUUUUCAGACGUUUGACAUAAG
RNAcentral lists this long non-coding RNA (292 nucleotides) under Elaeis guineensis (African oil palm). RNAcentral's name for it is "long non-coding RNA (EGUI_LNC068064)". The record is from RNAcentral. Lineage: Eukaryota; Viridiplantae; Streptophyta; Magnoliopsida; Arecales; Arecaceae.